This 253-nucleotide ribosomal RNA is filed under the name uncultured bacterium. RNAcentral's name for it is "partial 16S ribosomal RNA". It matches the Rfam family "Bacterial small subunit ribosomal RNA", at positions 524 to 776 of the family's 1533-position model. The record is from RNAcentral.
UACGUAGGGUCCGAGCGUUGUCCGGAAUUACUGGGCGUAAAGAGCUCGUAGGUGGUUUGUCGCGUUGUUCGUGAAAACUCACAGCUUAACUGUGGGCGUGCGGGCGAUACGGGCAGACUUGAGUACUGCAGGGGAGACUGGAAUUCCCGGUGUAGCGGUGAAAUGCGCAGAUAUCAGGAAGAACACCCGUGGCGAAGGCGGCUCUCUGGAACGCAACUGACGCUGAGACGCGAAAGCGUGGGGAGCAAACAGG